Molecule: ribosomal RNA, 812 nt
Filed under: Curtobacterium sp. 104.26
Lineage: Bacteria; Bacillati; Actinomycetota; Actinomycetes; Micrococcales; Microbacteriaceae
Description: bacterial SSU rRNA
Rfam family: Bacterial small subunit ribosomal RNA
Source: RNAcentral
UGUGAAAUCCCGAGGCUCAACCUCGGGCUUGCAGUGGGUACGGGCAGACUAGAGUGCGGUAGGGGAGAUUGGAAUUCCUGGUGUAGCGGUGGAAUGCGCAGAUAUCAGGAGGAACACCGAUGGCGAAGGCAGAUCUCUGGGCCGUAACUGACGCUGAGGAGCGAAAGCGUGGGGAGCGAACAGGAUUAGAUACCCUGGUAGUCCACGCCGUAAACGUUGGGCGCUAGAUGUAGGGACCUUUCCACGGUUUCUGUGUCGUAGCUAACGCAUUAAGCGCCCCGCCUGGGGAGUACGGCCGCAAGGCUAAAACUCAAAGGAAUUGACGGGGGCCCGCACAAGCGGCGGAGCAUGCGGAUUAAUUCGAUGCAACGCGAAGAACCUUACCAAGGCUUGACAUACACCGGAAACGGCCAGAGAUGGUUGCCCCCUUGUGGUCGGUGUACAGGUGGUGCAUGGUUGUCGUCAGCUCGUGUCGUGAGAUGUUGGGUUAAGUCCCGCAACGAGCGCAACCCUCGUUCUAUGUUGCCAGCGCGUUAUGGCGGGGACUCAUAGGAGACUGCCGGGGUCAACUCGGAGGAAGGUGGGGAUGACGUCAAAUCAUCAUGCCCCUUAUGUCUUGGGCUUCACGCAUGCUACAAUGGCCGGUACAAAGGGCUGCGAUACCGUAAGGUGGAGCGAAUCCCAAAAAGCCGGUCUCAGUUCGGAUUGAGGUCUGCAACUCGACCUCAUGAAGUCGGAGUCGCUAGUAAUCGCAGAUCAGCAACGCUGCGGUGAAUACGUUCCCGGGCCUUGUACACACCGCCCGUCAAGUC